RNAcentral lists this ribosomal RNA (459 nucleotides) under uncultured bacterium. RNAcentral's name for it is "partial 16S ribosomal RNA". It matches the Rfam family "Bacterial small subunit ribosomal RNA", at positions 338 to 795 of the family's 1533-position model. The record is from RNAcentral.
CCUACGGGUGGCAGCAGUGAGGAAUAUUGGUCAAUGGGCGUAAGCCUGAACCAGCCAAGUCGCGUGAGGGAUGAAGGUUCUAUGGAUCGUAAACCUCUUUUAUAAGGGAAUAAAGUGCGGGUCGUGUCCCGUUUUGUAUGUACUUUAUGAAUAAGGACAGGCUAACUCCGAGCUAGCAGACGCGGUAAUACGGAGGAUCCGAGCGUUAUCCGGAUUUAAUGGGUUUAAAGGGUGUGCAGGCGGAAGAUCAAGUCAGCGGUAAGAUUGAGAGGCUCAACCUCUUCGAGCCUGUGAAACUGUGUUUCUUGAGUGAGCGAGAAGUAUGCGGAAUUCGUGGUGUAGCGGUGAAAUGCAUAGAUAUCACGCAGAACUCCGAUUGCGAAGGCAGCAUACCGGCGCUCAACUGACGCUCAUGCACGAAAGUGUGGGGAUCGAACAGGAUUAGAUACCCUUGUAGUC